UACGUAGGGGGCUAGCGUUGUCCGGAAUCAUUGGGCGUAAAGAGCUCGUAGGCGGUCUGUUGCGUCCGCUGUGAAAACUCGGGGCUUAACCCCGAGCCUGCAGUGGAUACGGGCAGACUAGAGGUAGGUAGGGGAGAAUGGAAUUCCCGGUGUAGCGGUGAAAUGCGCAGAUAUCAGGAAGAACACCCGUGGCGAAGGCGGCUCUCUGGGACGGUACUGACGCUGAGACGCGAAAGCGUGGGGAGCGAACAGG
Molecule: ribosomal RNA, 253 nt
Filed under: uncultured bacterium
Lineage: Bacteria
Description: partial 16S ribosomal RNA
Rfam family: Bacterial small subunit ribosomal RNA
Source: RNAcentral